AUGGCUUCUCUGUCGAUGAGUGCGGGGUGGACGCCGAAGCAGAACAAGCUGUUCGAGCAGGCGUUGGCGGUGCACGACAGGGACACACCCGACCGCUGGCACAACAUCGCCCGUGCUGUCGGGGGCGGCAAGUCGGCGGACGAUGUCAGGCGCUACUACGAGCUGCUCGUCCACGACAUCGCCCGGAUCGAGGCCGGCAAGGUGUCUUUCCCCGCCUACCGUCCACCAUGCCCCGGCCCCGGCCACAACGCCAGCUACGAGGCCGACAGGUUGAAGCACUUGAAGAUCUAG
This 291-nucleotide ribosomal RNA is filed under the name Triticum aestivum (bread wheat). RNAcentral describes it as "partial small subunit ribosomal RNA". Lineage: Eukaryota; Viridiplantae; Streptophyta; Magnoliopsida; Poales; Poaceae. The record is from RNAcentral.